UGCUGGGCUUAAAAGCCCCGCCUGCCGCUUCUCGUCUCAGUUUGAGAAGCCAAGGAAGGAAUCAAGGGAAAAUGUCGCCAUGAAGGCCGAGAACCGCUGCCGCCGCCGACCCCCGCCGGCCCUGAACGCCAUGAGCCUGGGUCCCCGCCGCGCCCGCUCCGCUCCGACCGCCGUCGCCGCCGAGGCCCCCGUUGAUGCCGCAGAGCUCCCCCAACGCUGCCGCCACCGCCUCCGACAUGGACAAAAACAGCGGCUCCAACAACUCUUCCGCCUCUUCGGGCAGCAGCAAGGGGCAACAGCCGCCCCGCUCCGCCUCGGCGGGGCCCGCCGGCGAGUCUAAACCCAAGAGCGAUGGAAAGAACUCAAAUGGAUCAAAGCGUUAUAAUCGCAAGCGUGAACCUUCCUACCCCAAAAAUGAAAAUUUUAGCAACCAGUCCCGUCGCUCCAAUGCACAGAAAAGCAAAACUUUUAAUAAGAUGCCUCCUCAAAGGGGUGGCGGCAGCAGCAAACUCUUUAGCUCUUCUUUUAAUGGUGGAAGACGAGAUGAGGUAGCAGAGGCUCAACGGGCAGAGUUUAGCCCUGCCCAGUUCUCUGGUCCUAAGAAGAUCAACCUGAACCACUUGUUGAAUUUCACUUUUGAACCACGUGGCCAAGCAGGUCACUUUGAAGGCAGUGGACAUGGCAGCUGGGGAAAAAGGAACAAGUGGGGACAUAAGCCUUUUAACAAGGAACUCUUUCUACAAGCCAACUGCCAAUUUGUGGUGUCCGAAGACCAAGACUACACAGCUCAUUUUGCUGAUCCUGAUACCUUAGUCAACUGGGACUUUGUGGAACAAGUGCGUAUCUGUAGCCAUGAAGUGCCAUCUUGCCCAAUAUGCCUCUAUCCACCUACUGCAGCCAAGAUAACCCGUUGUGGACACAUUUUCUGCUGGGCAUGCAUCCUGCAUUAUCUUUCAUUGAGUGAGAAGACCUGGAGUAAAUGUCCCAUCUGUUACAGUUCUGUGCAUAAGAAGGAUCUCAAGAGUGUUGUUGCCACAGAGUCACGCCAGUAUGUCGUCGGUGAUACCAUUACGAUGCAGCUGAUGAAGAGAGAGAAAGGAGUAUUGGUGGCCUUGCCCAAAUCCAAGUGGAUGAAUGUAGACCAUCCUAUUCAUCUGGGAGAUGAACAACACAGCCAGUACUCUAAGUUGCUGCUGGCCUCUAAGGAGCAGGUGCUGCAUCGUGUUGUUCUGGAAGAGAAAGUUGCCCUGGAGCGGCAACUGGCAGAGGAGAAGCACACUCCUGAGUCCUGCUUUAUUGAGGCAGCUAUCCAGGAGCUCAAGACACGGGAAGAGGCUCUAUCAGGAUUGGCUGAAAGCAGGAAAGAGGUCCCCGGUGUCGUAUCUGCUCUGGAACAACUGGUGCUGAUGGCUCCCUUGGCGAAAGAGCCUGUUUUUCGACCCAGGAAGGGUGUGCUAGAAUAUCUGUCUGCCUUUGAUGAAGAAACUGUGGAAGUUUGUUCUGUGGACUCUCCUCGCCCUCUUGCUCUCCCUCUAGUAGAGGAAGAGGAAGUAGUGUCUGAACCGGAGCCAGAGGGUUUGUCAGAGACCUGUGAUGACUCGGAGUUAGCAGAUGACAAUCUUGGUGAGGGGACCAUUUGUAUUGAGACCAGCCAGCAGGAACCUGUCACUAAACCUGGCUUCACACACCUGAGCAGCUCACCUUGUUACUACUUUUACCAAGCGGAGGACGGGCAGCACAUGUUCCUGCACCCCAUCAACGUGCGCUGCCUUGUGCGAGAGUAUGGCAGCCUGGAGCAGAGUCCAGAGAAGAUCUCAGCAACCGUGGUAGAGAUUGCUGGGUACUCCAUGUCUGAGGAUGUUCGACAGCGUCACAGGUAUCUCUCUCAUUUGCCACUCACCUGUGAGUUCAGCCUCUGUGAACUGGCUCUGCAGCCUCCUGUGGUCUCUAAGGAAACCCUAGAGAUGUUUUCAGAUGACAUUGAGAAGCGGAAGCGUCAGCGCCAGAAGAAGGCUCGGGAGGAACGCCGCCGAGAACGCAGGAUUGAGAUGGAGGAGAACAAGAAACAGGGCAAGUAUCCAGAAGUCCACAUUCCCCUGGAGAAUCUACAGCAGUUUCCUGCCUUCAAUUCAUAUACCUGCUCUUCUGAUUCUGCUUUGGGUCCUACCAGCACUGAGGGCCAUGGGUCCCUCUCCCUUUCUACUCUUAGCAGAAGUCCAGGUUCUCAUGCAGACUUUCUGCUGACCCCUCUGUCACCCACUGCCAGUCAGGGCAGUCCCUCAUUCUGCGUGGGGAGUCUGGAAGAAGACUCUCCCUUCCCUUCCUUUGCCCAGAUGCUGCGUGUUGGAAAAGCAAAAGCAGAUGUGUGGCCCAAAACUGCUCUAAAAAAAGGUGAGGCAGGCCUGCUAGUGAACGAUGAGAACAGCUUAGUUCCUCCUGCCCCUGUGGACAGUGAUGGGGAGAGUGAUAACUCUGAUCGUGUUCCUGUGCCCAGUUUCCAGAAUUCCUUCAGCCAGGCUAUUGAAGCAGCCUUUAUGAAACUGGACACACCAGCUACUUCAGAUCCCCUCUCUGGUAAAGGCAGAGAACUGGAGUGCUCAGCGUAGGGCUUUUAAACUUGCCACACAUGUACUAUCAUUGCCACCUGCAUCCAGUGGACACCUGGAUUGGUCAGGCUGUUUCCCCUCUGAGUCUCUAGGCCUCAGUCUUCAACAUAAACUUGAGUGUCAGAAGAGAAAGGCGGAAAGAAAAGGAAAAAACAGAAACAGAAGCUCCUGUUCAGCACUUCAGUCGUGCAUACCAAGUGACACUACUGGCCCAGGCUACCUUUUCAUUUGGAUUUCUUUUUUUCCAUGCUUUUGUUUUGCUGCUGUAAUUUUUAAGUAUUUUGAGUUUGAACAGAUUAGCUUGGGCGGGGGGAGGGGGUGUCCACAAUGUGAGGGGGAACCAAGCCAAUUUUAAAUACAGUGUAUUUUCCAGCUUCCCGUCUUUACACCAAAAUAAAGUAUUGACACUCAGAUCUUUUCCUGCCAAGAUUUUUAGUUUGUGACCAUUCGUGGUCUUUUAUACUGGUCUUUACAGAUAGUAUACUGGCAGUCAUUUAUAGUAAUUGUCUCAAUUCAAAGUAAGUUUGAGCCUCUUUAGCAUCCAUUGGAGCAGCCCAAACUAGCGGCUUAGCACUGCUCUACUAUGGCAGCCUGGUCUCUUAGUGCACCCAUCAGUUUGUUUCAAUAGCUGUGUCAGUUGGGCAGGGUGGUGCAUGCCUAUAAUCCUGGCACUGGUGUGGUAGGGGUGCUGAGGCAGGGGGAUUGCUACAAGUUGGAGGCCAGCCUGGGCUACAUAGACUCUGUCUCAAAAAAGACCAAAACCCCCAAAACUGCAGUCAUUCUUUCCUAUCCAUUUCUCUUACUAAGAAAUAGGAUCUGGAUCUGGGUGUGGUGAUACACACCCAUAAUCCCAACACUGGGAGGUUGAGACAGGAGGAGUGCAAAUUUGAGCAUAGCUGGGGCAGUUUAGUGACUUAGUGAAGGUCUGUCUCAAAAAAGACAGGAUGGGGGCUGGGGAUUUAGCUCAGCGGCAUAAGCGCCUGCCUUGCAAGCAGGCAGUCACGAGUUCGAUCCCCGGUACCGACAAAAAAAAAGACCAAAAAAAUUUAUUAAAAAAAAAGACAGGAUGUAGCUCAUUGUGAAGGUCUGGAUUCAAUCCCCACCACAUGUGAAAGGAGUUUUGCCUCUUGAACCUGGCUUUGGUAAGGGAAAUUUAUAACCAUCACUAACACCUGCUACCCUUUACUCAGAUGAAGCUUAAGUGAUAGUGGCCUGAGUUGUAGAAACAGGAUUCUAGCACACCUGGAGGUGUGCCUCUUUUUUGUCUGUAGCAGCUUUCUUAUGUCUUGGUUUCAGCUGAGUUUGAGCGAUGUCAAUUCUUUUGCUGCUUAAUAAAUUGACCUCUAGGUGUAAUAGAAUGUAAAAGCACAGUUGCAAUAAAUUACAUGCAAAAAUAA
This is an RNA transcript of Cavia porcellus (domestic guinea pig), 4003 nucleotides long. It is a transcript of the gene named ring finger protein 10, with no coding region annotated. The record is from RefSeq and is a predicted model, not a curated record. NCBI's taxonomy places the organism in Eukaryota, Metazoa, Chordata, Mammalia, Rodentia, Caviidae. The transcript is spliced from 17 exons.